UCUACCAGUGAUGGAUGAGAGUUGGUGCACAAAUACCCCAGCUCCCUUGCCUCUCAGUUUGGAUAAUCCUGAAAAGACCCAGCAAGAAAUGAUUCCAAGAUCACCUAGCUGAUCUCAUGCUCUAUCUGGAUUUGAGUGAAGAUAUACAUAUUCACCAAGUCUUGACUCAGUCACCUUUUGUGCAGGUUAUUUCUGGACACAGUAAUCCUUCAGCAAUACAAUUACCAAGUUAUUCAACAUGGAAGGCUUUGCCAAGACAGUGGUGGCUGGGAUUUGACCCUCUAAGUGUGAGCUUCAGUUCUACAUGUUGGAAUAGAUCAUCUGGACCCUCUGGAUUCUGGUCCUGUACUGACCUUCAAGCUGUCUCUUUCAGCUUUCUGUGCUGAGGCAGAAAAGAGGAAAGCUGGACCACACCCAGCCAGGACUACACGUGCAGGGUCAUCCAUUCCUUUAUUAGCAAAUAUUCAUGAAUGCCCACUAUGUGCAACACACGGUGCUUGGUGCAAGCAUACAGUGAUGAAUCAAGUAGAGAAGGCCCUGCCCUUAUGGAGCUUACAGCCUGGCUGUGAGCUGGCAAUACUGGGCCCACAUUUAUCAUGGCAUUCACAGCUGUUGCUAAGUAGAAGUUGACCCCUUCAUUUGUGUAAACAUCUUGGGAAUAGAGCAGUUGACUGGACAUCUCUCAUGUGCAGCAGCAGCAGGAAAAAGAACUUUGGACUUUAUCUGCGUUCAUCACCAUCCCUCAAAAACACAAGUAAUAGAAAAAGCUGAGAUAGAGUUACCCUGGGAGAAUCCAAGAAUAACUUUGGUAAGGCAUCACUUGGUGGGGAUACAAAGAUGGAAAGAGGAAGGCAAUAGAUUUUUGGAAAAGAAAAUAAACCUACAGUUAAAAGAAAAAAGAAAACAAUGAAAAUAG
Long non-coding RNA from Homo sapiens (human), 916 nucleotides. The record is from Ensembl. NCBI's taxonomy places the organism in Eukaryota, Metazoa, Chordata, Mammalia, Primates, Hominidae.